Molecule: transfer RNA, 89 nt
Filed under: hydrothermal vent metagenome
Description: tRNA-Ser-GGA
Rfam family: tRNA
About the family: Transfer RNA (tRNA) molecules are approximately 80 nucleotides in length. Their secondary structure includes four short double-helical elements and three loops (D, anti-codon, and T loops).
Source: RNAcentral
GGAGAGGUGGCAGAGUGGUUGAACGCGCCCGCUUGGAAAGCGUGUGACUGUCGAAAGAUGGUCCGAGGGUUCGAAUCCCUCCCUCUCCG